CCCCUUCUCCUCCUGAGAUGACCCGACCUCUCUCGCUGAGCACUGAGGGUUGUAACUUUACUUCUGGUGGCAGUCUCAACUGGACUACCCCACUGCCAACAGAACCAAGUCUUUUUACCACAACCCCAGGACAGAAUACUGAUGACAUACAUGCGGUUCAGUGGCACUCUCCAUCCUACCUUUACUUCUGUGUCAUUGGAGGUUUAACAGCUAUUAUUGUUGGAAUAAUCAUCAGUCUCUUGACAGGGGGAUUGAGGGAGACGGUGGACCCGAGACUUAUGCUAAUGAAAGAAGACACUCUUUCUUAUCACCUGUUCAAACGUGUCAAAGA
Long non-coding RNA from Pundamilia nyererei, 331 nucleotides. RefSeq lists it as uncharacterized. The record is from RefSeq and is a predicted model, not a curated record. NCBI's taxonomy places the organism in Eukaryota, Metazoa, Chordata, Actinopteri, Cichliformes, Cichlidae. The transcript is spliced from 3 exons.